UACGUAGGGUGCAAGCGUUGUCCGGAAUUAUUGGGCGUAAAGCGCCCGCAGGCGGCUUGCCAAGUUCGAUGUGAAAUCUCCCGGCUCAACUGGGAGGGUGCAUCGAAAACUGGCAGGCUUGAGGCAGGGAGAGGGAUGUGGAAUUCCAGGUGUAGUGGUGAAAUGCGUAGAUAUUGGGAGGAACACCAGUGGCGAAGGCGGCUCACUGGACCGGUACUGACGCUGAUGCGCGAAAGCGUGGGGAGCAAACGGG
This 253-nucleotide ribosomal RNA is filed under the name uncultured bacterium. RNAcentral describes it as "partial 16S ribosomal RNA". It matches the Rfam family "Bacterial small subunit ribosomal RNA", at positions 524 to 776 of the family's 1533-position model. The record is from RNAcentral.